Molecule: ribosomal RNA, 253 nt
Filed under: uncultured bacterium
Lineage: Bacteria
Description: partial 16S ribosomal RNA
Rfam family: Bacterial small subunit ribosomal RNA
Source: RNAcentral
CACGUAGGAGGCGAGCGUUGUCCGGAAUCAUUGGGCGUAAAGAGCGCGCAGGCGGCUUGGCAAGUCGGGUGUGAAAUCCCGGGACUCAACCCCGGGACUGCAUUCGAUACUGUCAGGCUAGAGGUAGGUAGGGGAGAUCGGAAUUCCUGGUGUAGCGGUGAAAUGCGCAGAUAUCAGGAGGAACACCGGUGGCGAAGGCGGCACUCUGGGCCGGAACUGACGCUGAGGAGCGAAAGCGUGGGGAGCGAACAGG